GAGCGUAGCGAGAAAGCGUUGCCGCAGGCAACGACCCGAAGGGCGAGAUGCUUUAGCAUCGAGUAAUCCUUCCCCCGCCACCA
This 83-nucleotide small RNA is filed under the name Buttiauxella sp. B2. RNAcentral describes it as "partial RtT sRNA". It matches the Rfam family "RtT RNA", at positions 50 to 130 of the family's 130-position model. From Rfam's summary of the family: This family represents a bacterial cis-regulatory element known as RtT RNA. The exact function of RtT is unknown although it is thought that it may be involved in changing the cellular response in relation to amino acid starvation. Lineage: Bacteria; Pseudomonadati; Pseudomonadota; Gammaproteobacteria; Enterobacterales; Enterobacteriaceae. The record is from RNAcentral.